GACGAACGCUGGCGGCGUGCUUAACACAUGCAAGUCGAACGGAAAGGCCCUGCUUUUGUUGGGUGCUCGAGUGGCGAACGGGUGAGUAACACGUGAGUAACCUGCCCUUGACUUUGGGAUAACUUCAGGAAACUGGGGCUAAUACCGGAUAGGAGCUCCUGCUGCAUGGUGGGGGUUGGAAAUUUUCGGCGGUUGGGGAUGUACUCGCGGCUUAUCAGCUUGUUGGUGGGGUAGUGGCUUACCAAGGCUUUGACGGGUAGCCGGGCGGAGAGGGUGACCGGCCACAUUGGGACUGAGAUACGGCCCAGACUCCUACGGGAGGCAGCAGUGGGGAAUAUUGCACAAUGGGCGGAAGCCUGAGGCAGCAACGCCGCGUGCGGGAUGACGGCCUUCGGGUUGUAAACCGCUUUCGCCUGUGACGAAGCGUGAGUGACGGUAAUGGGUAAAGAAGCACCGGCUAACUACGUG
This 468-nucleotide ribosomal RNA is filed under the name uncultured bacterium. Its description in RNAcentral is "partial 16S ribosomal RNA". It matches the Rfam family "Bacterial small subunit ribosomal RNA", at positions 28 to 507 of the family's 1533-position model. The record is from RNAcentral.